Long non-coding RNA from Bactrocera oleae (olive fruit fly), 742 nucleotides. RefSeq lists it as uncharacterized. NCBI's taxonomy places the organism in Eukaryota, Metazoa, Arthropoda, Insecta, Diptera, Tephritidae. The record is from RefSeq and is a predicted model, not a curated record.
UAACCACCUCUUUGCAUGCCCAACAAACCCAACGCAUCUAACACCCUUUUCCUUACGUUGCGACCCCGUCGAAACAGCCCGUUUCUUGGGCCUCCCGUUAGAUGACCUCGACGACAACCAAACUAUCACUUACCAUCCAAGCGGGGACUAGAUAACCGUUACAGCAACAACAACAUACGAAUUCACUGUAAGAAUUCAAAGUUAGAAAUCUGAACAACGGAUACUGGUUAUUACGUACAGAAAACGAUACUUUAAAUUUACUAUUUAAUUGUUCCAGUUCUUGAAUCAAAAACUGUCAGAAUGAGUGAUGGGAGAAAGCGACUUAAUGGGGCCGACUACAGAAAAAGAGCAUAAAUUAAAAAAAAGAACAGAAAGAAGUCAUCCGUCAAACUAUUAAAAUUUACAAUUUUUAUUAAAAAAUUAAUGUAAAAUCAGUAUUUUGAGUGCGGAAACUUCAAACAUAAGUCGUAAUACAAUACAAUCUGAAGAAGAUGAGACCGAUACAUAUUCUGCUGUUUGUGACAGUGUGGCAGAAGCGGAAUCAUCUGUAAGUCCAACAAUUGAAGAUUCGUCUCAGAAUCAGUCGUCGAAAUAGUGAGAAAGAUGAUCGCAAGGUACGGCUUUGAUCAAAACAAAUCUUGUGACUUCUCUGAAAGUGAAGGAAUAUAUGCUGAUCAGCGUCGUUUUCUGGCAAUUAGUAUCUUCCACAAAAAAUUAAAAAUAAUGAAGUGAAAGAUCGAAA